This 72-nucleotide ribosomal RNA is filed under the name Trichoderma sp. IMI 206039. RNAcentral describes it as "partial 28S ribosomal RNA". It matches the Rfam family "Eukaryotic large subunit ribosomal RNA", at positions 1 to 70 of the family's 3401-position model. The record is from RNAcentral. Lineage: Eukaryota; Fungi; Ascomycota; Sordariomycetes; Hypocreales; Hypocreaceae.
GUUGACCUCGGAUCAGGUAGGAAUACCCGCUGAACUUAAGCAUAUCAAUAAGCGGAGGAAAAGAAACCAACC